Molecule: long non-coding RNA, 1718 nt
Organism: Photinus pyralis (common eastern firefly)
Lineage: Eukaryota; Metazoa; Arthropoda; Insecta; Coleoptera; Lampyridae
Exons: 7
Source: RefSeq, a predicted model, not a curated record
CUUCUAAUUCAGUUACCACGCAAAUUUGCUUCUUUUGGCAAUUUGCAAGUAAAAGCAACAAUUUUCAUAACUGAACAAGACAGCGGGUUCAGUGGAAUUGUUACCAGUCUGAAAUUAAUUUUUUUACAAUCGUGAAUGGUGAAUGCUUGAAGUAGAAUAAAUUGUUGUCUUGAUCGCUAAAUUGCGGUUGGGCUUCAAAGUGCCUAUUCCUAUAUUGCGGUCUCGGCCAUCACAGAUGUACGGAAUUUUCCCCAUUUCACCUUCAUGGAUCUUGCAUAAAGCACACAUCUUUAAUUUAUUUGUUAAAUUACUAACUGAAGUAAACGCAUAAUCGAACGGAAUCUACUAAACGCAUUGUCAUUUAGCUGCACUUGGCUGGACUAUGCGAUAAACCAGUCGAUUCUGCACAAGAAAAAACGUCGUCGAACAAUGGUUUCCCUUGUCCAACGCCACCAAAGCUAAAGGGUAAACGCAUAAUCUGAUGGACGUCUGAGAAUCUUCUAAACGCAUUCUAAUUUACCUGCAUUUGGCUGCACUAUGCGGUAAACCAGCCGAUUCUGCGCAAGUUACUUUAAGCUAAAAUGUGCCGCGCUUAACUGCGCUCAUUGGUUCCCUUGUCCAACGCCGCCAAAGCUAAAGGCUAACGCACAGUAGGACGGACGUCGGACAAUCUUCUAAACGCAUUGUAAUUUACUUGCACUUGGCGGAACUAUGCGCUAAACCAGCCGAUCCUGCGCAAGAUAAAACGUGCUGCGCUUAGCUGCGAUCAAUGGUUUCCCUAGUCCAACGCCACCAAUAAGUUUAUUGGUGUAAUCGCGUGUGCUCCUUGGUGCCAGUUUGCCCUGCGAAAGUGAACUAGUGCGGUUGUCCGUGGAUGAUGCUUCUUCCCAGGAGAGACCGAAUUGAUAAGGCUAAGGGAUUCCAGAAGGGCAGCCUUAUAAAGGUAGGAUUUUUCGUUUUGGUGCAUGGGUGACGGCAUUUUUUUUGUAUUUAGCAGGGGGGGAGUGAAUAGUGUAUAUAGUGACUCUAAAGAAGAUCAACAAUUUUCUUGCAUGACCUUUGCACUGUAAUUGUAAGUGAGCUGUGACUUUCUGCUAAUCUUAUCGUCUUGGUAACCUAAAAUUGACUGCAAUGGUUCUUUAAACAGCUUCUUUCGCGGCGACUAUCGGUUGACUUUAUGCAAAAGACUGCAAAUAUGAAUUCAUAGCUUUGCCGGUUUUAUUAAGUAAACGGAUUGUAACUUCGAAAAAAAGACUAAGAGGGAGCAUUGCAGUCCCUUUCGUUGCCCAGGUGAGUAGCUUCACGGAUUGUCAUAUCUCAUUUGUUAUUAUGCAAAGAUCUGCUUAAUGGUAAGGUGAGUUAGGAUGUUCCUUAAUUACUGCAUCGAAACUCUUAAUUUGUACUGAAUUAUGACUUAUGAGCGAUAAGUAGUUAAGAAACGAACACAUCGAGAAAUAAACUGCUAACUGCUAAACUCAUCGAUUGUCCUUUCUCUCCUGAUGUAGCGCUGGUCCUGUCGUGUUAUCUACUGACGAGGAUUUACCAGUCCGUGGUCCUGAUUCCAGUCUUCCCCCGUCUCUGUUGAACACAUAUGAAUCCGGUUUAAGCAAAUAAAAUCUGCCAACUCGACGCUUUGGCUGUUGUGUAUCCUGUCACAGUGAACGUCGUCUGCCUUAAGUCCGAUGGUUUCCGUUGUCCUUCACACCAAACCCAAUGGU